GCUGGAACAAAUCCCUGUGUUUCCUGAGCAGGUCAGCCGGUGACUGUAUGAACCUACAGCCCCUGUGGUCUUGUUCCCUGGAGCUGCAGAGAAGUCCUGCCUGAGAACAUUCCUAGCAUCCUGGGAAGCCAUUCAGUUGUUUGCUUUACCCUGACUCCACUCACCUCAGAUCACAAGUAGACAAAUCCGGAGACCCUCGAGGUUUAGAAUUGCAAGGUUCAGUGUGCCCCUGACUGCUUAGCUGGGAGCUUCCUUUGAUUUUAUGGAUUUCAAGUGAGAACCAUUUUACCAGUCAAGUAAAUGGACCCUUGAAAACAAUGGACAGGAGUUUGAGGAGAAUGGGAAGCACUUUUCAAAGUUACUUGAGAGCCUUCUGAUCACGGCACUAUUGGAUGUCUGAGAAGCAAGAAUCACUUUUGUCUUCCUACAGGUGAGGGAAAUGAGGUCACUUGUCAAGAAAUGUACAUUUUCUCAGAAAACAUUGUUGUAAGGGAAGCAGCAAAGCACAAAACCAGAACCCAGGGACUGCUGAAAAUGUCAGUGGGUGUGUGUCCACGGGACUAGAGAGGCCCCGCGACAGACUCAUUCUUGGAUGACAUUCUGACUCGAAGCCUUUCAAAAUCCCCUCCUGGAGAGUGACGAUCUACUGGUUGGUGCUGGGAUUCAGGUCACCCUCCUGACUGUAGGUUGGUGGCCUGACAUUUCCAGGCCAUGGCCAAGUCUCAGGCUUAGCAGAUCCUGCUAAGAUCUGCAGACCCCGUGAUCUGCCCUGCCGGUUCACCAGCUAUCACCCUCUCUGAGCUCACUUGUCUUGGGAAGCCUCAACAGAUAACUGAAUAAUUAAAUGAAAUCAUCUGUUCGCUGGAGGACACAGCCCCGCCAUCUCCACAGUCCUUCCCCAGGCUUUCCCCAGCCCCCAGCUCCAGCCUCAGGAAGCGGAGCUGCUGAGAAUCUCUCCUCCAGCCUCGCCUCCUGCCGAGAGUGUCCUCUGCGUGCCCAAUAUUGUGUCCUGGAAAAUACCAAGUGCCCUAGCAGCCAGGCGGGAGCCCUGGCGGCCUGGGGAAGGCUGGC
This is a long non-coding RNA of Suricata suricatta (meerkat), 1071 nucleotides long. RefSeq lists it as uncharacterized. Lineage: Eukaryota; Metazoa; Chordata; Mammalia; Carnivora; Herpestidae. The transcript is spliced from 5 exons. The record is from RefSeq and is a predicted model, not a curated record.